RNAcentral lists this ribosomal RNA (920 nucleotides) under uncultured archaeon. RNAcentral's name for it is "bacterial SSU rRNA". It matches the Rfam family "Archaeal small subunit ribosomal RNA", at positions 1 to 922 of the family's 1478-position model. The record is from RNAcentral.
UUCCGGUUGAUCCUGCCGGAGGCCAUUGCUAUCGGGGUCCGAUUUAGCCAUGCUAGUCGCACGGGUUCAGACCCGUGGCAAACAGCUCAGUAACACGUGGCCAAACUACCCUAUGGACGUGGACACCCUCGGGAAACUGAGGCUAAUCCACGAUACGGCUCCCACGCUGGAACGCGGGGAGCCGGAAACGCUCCGGCGCCCUAGGAUGUGGCUGCGGUCGAUUAGGUAGACGGUGGGGUAACGGCCCACCGUGCCCAUAAUCGGUACGGGAUGUGAGAGCAAAUAGCCCGGAGAUGGUAUCUGAGACAAGAUACCAGGCCCUACGGGGCGCAGCAGGCGCGAAACCUUUACACUGCACGCCAGUGCGAUAAGGGGACCCCGAGUGCGAGGGCAUACAGUCCUCGCUUUUGUACACCGUAAGGAGGUGUACGAAUAAGGGCUGGGCAAGACCGGUGCCAGCCGCCGCGGUAAUACCGGCAGCCCGAGUGAUGGCCGCUGUUAUUGGGCCUAAAGCGUCCGUAGCCGGCCGAACAAGUCUGUCGGGAAAUCCAUCCGCCUAACGGAUGGGCGUCCGGCAGAAACUGUUCGGCUUGGGGCCGGAAGAUCCGAGGGGUACGUCUGGGGUAGGAGUGAAAUCCUGUAAUCCUGGACGGACCGCCGGUGGCGAAAGCGCCUCGGAAGGACGGACCCGACGGUGAGGGACGAAAGCUGGGGUCUCGAACCGGAUUAGAUACCCGGGUAGUCCCAGCCGUAAACGAUGAUCGCUAGGUGUGGCACAGGCUACGAGCCUGUGCUGUGCCGUAGGGAAGCCGUGAAGCGAUCCGCCUGGGAAGUACGUCCGCAAGGAUGAAACUUAAAGGAAUUGGCGGGGGAGCACUACAACCGGAGGAGCCUGCGGUUCAAUUGGACUCAACGCCGGA